Molecule: long non-coding RNA, 659 nt
Organism: Monopterus albus (swamp eel)
Lineage: Eukaryota; Metazoa; Chordata; Actinopteri; Synbranchiformes; Synbranchidae
Exons: 3
Source: RefSeq, a predicted model, not a curated record
AUGAGGCACAGAUGCUCCAAACAGACCAAAAACAAUUACGCAGCUGUAGAUUAAUAAAGCUAAUGUUAGAAACAAGCUGUAAUCAAUUUCACAGACACUCUCCUGAACCCUCGAAAUGUCUGACGUGCUGAAGGAAAACAAGCUUUGCUUUCCGAAUUGCAGCAUGCUCAAGGUCAAGCCUCGACCAUCUCAACUUGACCGGCCAGUGAGUGACCCUUAUGCUCUGCAGCUCUACCCUGCAACGACCUUCAUCUCCCCUGUCUGUGAUCAACACCAAAUACUGACAUAAUGAUGUUUUGUGUUCUGUAUUCAAUUUGUACAUUUGCUCUUGUAAUAUAGUAUACUAGCAAUGAUAAAAGUGAUUGCACUGGAGUCUAAGUUUUACCUGUCAUGUAAUUUUAUGGCUGACUUAACCCUGCACUGAUCAAUAUGGAGCGAUGGACUAUGUGUGCUAUGAAAGGGGUUGCUCAUAGAAACAAAGCCAUAGAGAAUUAACAUCUGACUCUUCAGCACAUUUCAGAAUGACACAGCCUUAAUUGUUUUGUUUUUCUGACCUCAAACUCCACUCUGAUCAGUCCCAUUAUUCAGCAGCUGCAGGAAACUCUUCUCAGUGAAAUAGCUGUCACAAACCCAUUAUAGGAUAGAGGCACAACACCAGA